AGCCAGAGCUUGGGAUCGCUUUCUGCUAUUCAACGUCCUCCACCUCUGCCCCCCUCUCGCCCCAGCCGGUGACAGGCUGUUGCCCUGUGAUCUGCAGGUCCUGGGACGUGCACAGACAGCUAAGAUGCCAGGACAUUCCAGAAGGUGGGAAAGGCACCUGAGUAAUUUGACUCUCCUGCCUGGACCCAGCGUACAGAUGGGAUUGUGCUUCAUUGCUGGACCCAGCAUUUAGGGAUCGUCACUCCCGUGGAUGAUCAAAGCUACUCCGGGGGCUGAGGCAGGAGAAUCGCUUGAACUCGGGAAGCAGAAGUUGCAGUGAGCCAAGGUCGCACCACUGCACUCCAGCCCAGGCGACAUUGUGAGACUCCAUCUCAAAAAAAAAAAAAAGAAAAAAAGUGUACUAACAAGACCCAGCACACAGAGGAGACUUUUACCAUUGUAUGAACACCCAUCAAACAGUACACAUCAUCAUUGUGAGUUCUGAAUCUCACACAUAGAGGAAGUCAAAGGUGGAAAACUUGACUCUCAUAUUUGGAUCCAGUCCACAGGUGUGAUUUUGACGCACACUUCUGCCCAGCACCUGAGUAAUGUGAUUCUUCAGAAUUGGCCCGGCCCACAAAUAGGAUUGUGCCACACUGCUGGACCCAGUGCCUAAGUGAUGUAACUCUAUUCUUCUGCCUUGGUGCUACUCGAAAAAGACAUUGUAACAUAUCUCAGAGCCUUACACCCAGGUAAUGUGAGUCUCCUCUUCUGCCUUGCUGCUGCACACAGAAGCGGAAUAUGUACAGGAUUGUUAAUCUCAUCUUGGAUCUUCCUGCACUUGUGAUUGUGACACAUGCCUCUGUGUAGAACCUGAGUGAGUUUACUCUCCUGCCUGGAUUUAACCCAUAGAUGGAAUCGUGACAUAUCACUGUACCAGAAACUAGGUGAUGUGACUCUAUUUUCUUGCCUCUGUGUUUUUAUAUGGGGCAUCGUGACAUAUCACUGGGCCUUGCACCCAAGUGAUGGGAGUUUUCUCUCCUGCUUUGGUGCCGUCCACAAUGAAAAUUGUGAAAUAUUGCUGCCCUCCCCACUAGGUUAUGUUACUCUCCUGCCUCUGCUUUGCCCACAUGGGUCACUGUGACAUAUUGCUGGGUCUAAAACCCAGGUAAUGUCACUCUCUUGUUUGGGUUCUGCCUGCAGGAGUCAUUGUCACAUAUCUCUAUGCUCAUCACCCAGGUAAUAUGAUUCCCUUUUACUGCUUAGUUCCUUCUCACAAAACAACUUGUGACAUAUUGCUAGGCCCAAUACACCUAGCUGGUGUAACUCUUCUUUUCUUUUCUUUCCUUUUUUUUUUUUUUUUUUUGAGAUGGAGUCUCACUCUGUUGCCCAGGCUGGAGUGCAGCGGCAUGAUUUCAGCUCACUACAGCCUCUGCCUCCUAGGUUGAAGCGAUUGUCCUGACUUGGCCUCCCAAGUAGCUGGGAUUAAAGGCAUGUGCCACCACGCCCGGCUAAUUUUUGUAUUUAUAGUAGAGACAGGGUUUCGCCAUGUUGGCUAGGCUGGUUUCGAACUUCUAACCUCAGGUGAUCCUCCUGCCUCGGCCUCCCAAAGUACUGGAAUUACAGGCAUGAGCCACUGCACCUGGCCUGAUUCUUCUCUUCUUUCUAGGUUUCAACUGCAGCAGAGAUUGUAACAAACCACUGGGCCCAGCCGCAUAAUGAUGUUACUCUUUUGCCUUGGGCCUGCCCUCAGAAGGCACUGUCACAUAUUCAUGGGCCCAACGCCAAGGUGAUAUGUGUCUCCAGCCUGGACCCUGCCCACAGGGGGCAUUGUGACAUAUCUCUUGGCCCAUCAGAUGUUUGAUUGUUAUCCCCUCCCCUCUUCUACCCUGUGUUUGCCUAUAAAAGACACAGUCAUAUGUUCCUGGGCCCAGCACCUAGGUGUUGUCUUACUGGAAUGUGUCCACAUGGGGAUUGUGAUAUGUCACGUGGCCCAGUACUUAACUUGAUGUGACUCUCCUCUCAUGCCUAGGCCUUGUAGAGAAUCCCCUUCCCCUUUUGUUUUCCUUUUUUUCUUUGCAGAUCCAGGAGAUAAUCAACUAAGAGCCAGGCACCCGUUUAGGUCUAAUAAACAUUUUACAAACUGCUCUCUCUUUUAAUUCACCUAUCUGAGAGAUUCCUCUGUACAAUAAAACUUGGUCUCCACAAUCCUUUACCUUAACCUAAACCUUCCCUUUCAUUGAUCCCAGGUCUUCAGAUUCCACCACUUGUCAACCACAAAAUAUUUAAAUUUACCUGGAAGCCGCCCGCUUUGAGUUGUCCCGCCUUUCUGAACCAAACCAAUAUAUUCCUGCAAAACCGGCCAUGAUUAAAACAUCAAAAAA
This 2363-nucleotide long non-coding RNA is filed under the name Homo sapiens (human). RNAcentral describes it as "non-protein coding LINC01224:23". The record is from RNAcentral. Lineage: Eukaryota; Metazoa; Chordata; Mammalia; Primates; Hominidae.